AUGGCCAAGAUCCUGGGAGCCUCAGUGUUGGUUCUGUGGCUUCAGGCACACUGGGUAAGUAGUCAACAGCAGAAUGAUGGACAGCAGGUUAAGCAAAGUUCUCCAUCCUUGACUGUCCAAGAAGGAAAAACUUCCAUUUUGAAUUGUGACUAUAAUAAUAAUUUGUUUGAUUAUUUUGCGUGGUACAAAAAGUACCCUGCUGAAGGUCCUACAUUCCUGAUCUCUAUACGCUCGAAUUCGGAAAGCAGUAAAAAAGGAAGACUCACAGUUUUUCUCGACAAAACGGCCCAGCACCUCUCUCUGCACAUUGCGACCUCCCACCUUGAAGACUCAGCUAUGUACUUCUGUGCAGCAAGUACACAGUGCUUAGCAGGGAUCCGCAGCCUGUACUCAAACCUGCAGCUAGGGGCCAAGCCAACCCUGCUUUGGCAUUUCAGAAGAGGAGGCACCAGUCUUGCUUCCUUUAAACAUGGCAGUGUGAGGGAGCAUGCUUUAAAGUAG
Non-coding RNA from Fukomys damarensis (Damara mole-rat), 501 nucleotides. NCBI's taxonomy places the organism in Eukaryota, Metazoa, Chordata, Mammalia, Rodentia, Bathyergidae. The record is from the annotation of a RefSeq genome assembly.